Molecule: ribosomal RNA, 584 nt
Filed under: uncultured bacterium
Lineage: Bacteria
Description: partial 16S ribosomal RNA
Rfam family: Bacterial small subunit ribosomal RNA
Source: RNAcentral
UGGGGAAUCUUCCGCAAUGGACGAAAGUCUGACGGAGCAACGCCGCGUGUAUGAUGAAGGUCUUCGGAUUGUAAAGUACUGUCAUUGGGGAAGAACGGUUUUCUUGAAAAGAUUGAGAAGACAUGACGGUACCCAAGGAGGAAGCCCCGGCUAACUACGUGCCAGCAGCCGCGGUAAUACGUAGGGGGGCAAGCGUUGUCCGGAAUUAUUGGGCGUAAAGGGCGCGUAGGCGGGCCUUUAAGUCCGGUGUGAAAGAUCAGGGCUCAACCCUGAGAGUGCAUCGGAAACUGGAGGCCUUGAGGACAGGAGAGGAAAGUGGAAUUCCACGUGUAGCGGUGAAAUGCGUAGAUAUGUGGAGGAACACCAGUGGCGAAGGCGACUUUCUGGACUGUAACUGGCGCUGAGGCGCGAAAGCGUGGGGAGCAAACAGGAUUAGAUACCCUGGUAGUCCACGCCGUAAACGAUGAGUGCUAGGUGUAGAGGGUAUCGACCCCUUCUGUGCCGCAGUUAACACAAUAAGCACUCCGCCUGGGGAGUACGGCCGCAAGGUUGAAACUCAAAUGAAUUGACGGGGGUCAUAGCUG